GUCUGACGCCAAAUAACCAUAAAUAAAAUAUGUUGAGUGUGUCGUCAAAUAAAACAUUUCUUUCUUUCCGUACAUUGAUUACAAUACACGUUACUGAAAAGUUCAGAAAACAAAUUGGACACGUGCUAACCCAUGGGCCACCAUAAGUGGCUUUGCAAUAAAGACGUUUAUAAAAUGGUAGUACAUGGAAUUAUUUGGAUAUAGUAUUUUGUGGGCUUUGACCUCAAGGUAUAACCUUUAUGUUUCACAGGAAAAACUGAAUACAUAUUUUGGACAUUAUAUGAUGAUGAGAAUGCAAUUUAAAAUUUUGAAAGUUAAAGUAGACUGUAUAAUAGUUUUAACAGGUAACGGAAGUGUCAGAAAAACGGAAAUAGUUUUUCAUAUCUGAAUGAAAUUCAAAAUACACUGAACCCUGAUACAAUUUUUAAUACAAAUAUGAAACUUAUAAUUGUCUAUUACAGAUGUCAAAGAAAGAUUAAUUCAUUAAAGUAACCGCAUGACCAUAUUUGGAUAUGAAAAGGGGAGUUCUGGGUACGUUACACAGGUAUAUAUAAGCAUAAAGACACGUUAUGUUUGAAGCAAAACAUUAUAAACAUGGCAUACAUACAGAGAGGCAAUCGUGGUGGCUGUGUUUUAAUUUAUAAUAAUCAUCGAUAUCAUAAAAACAGAACAACAAAAGAUGAACUAUUUUGGAGAUGUUGGAGACGAGACUGCCGCGCCUAUUUGCACACAUCAAUAUUUGAUAUUGCAGUGGAGAACCCCCAGAUAGCAAUUCUGAUGUGGUUACGACUGCAGACGGGCAGCCAACCAGUCGUAUCAAGCUUGAUUCCAUGGGCAGUCAUCCUCACCCUGUCGCAGCACAACCACAUAUAACGAGAGCGAACAUCACUAUGCGCUGACACUGACAUGAUAGAGGCUGAUUCAUUGACAAGUGAAAUGGAAAGCGCCAUCAAGUUGAAUUGUACGAAGCCAAUAAGACGUGUGUACAAUGACGUCGUCAGAGACACCAAUGUUGAUGUUGACUGCAUUUCGGAUUUCAACACGCUAUGAUCCAAACUACAGCCGCCUGUGCCUCAUGAUGUUGAGGACGUUGAAAUAGAUGGCGAAUGGAAACGCACCUGGACAAUGUCUGGGGCAUACUCAUUUUUGGAACAGACGGAAACUUUCAGAUGUUCCAAACUUGUAAAACGAUUUACAUAGAUGUGACGUUUAAAACAUGUCCAGUACCAUAUACACAAUUUGUCACGAUACAUGGUAUGUACAAUGGACGAGUUCUUCCAUUUGUUGUGUGCCUUACUACAGGUAAACAAAUAGGACAGUACAGACAGUUGCUGCAACAUGUGAAAGGCAAAGUAAGAGCAUGCACUGGUCACAGAUUUUGACCUCAGCAUGUUGUGUCGGACUUUGAACAGGCCAUCAUUACUGCUGUCGAAACUGAAAUUUCACAAGCGCAAAUAUGGGGUUGCUAUUUCCAUUUUUUAAAAAGUCUUUGACGUAGGGUCCAAGAACCGGCACUUCCUUAUGCACACCGCCGACACCUCAGAAAAUGUAUACGGAAAUUCCUCGCAAUUGGGUACCUUCCGAUACCGCUUGUACGACAAAACUUUCAGCUUUUGGCAACAUCCCGGAGAACAACACAGCUGAUUCAUCGUUAUCCUGCUCUGCAAGAGUUCAUUAUGUACAUGGACAGGAAUUAUCUACAAGGGAAUUUCCCUCCGCAUAUGUGGAACGUGUUCAACAGGGUAUGCGACACACGAACAGCUAUGUUGAAGGUUUUCACUACAAGUGGAAUUCUGCUGUAGGAAGACGCCAUCCGUCUCUGUGGAUGUUCAUCCGGAAGCUGAAAGACGAGCAGCAACUUUUGGAGGUUUCAGCGGCGGCAGCACGCAGAGGAAAUCCACCAAACCGUCGAAGAAAAAAGUGGCGCACACUCGAAGAUCGGAUAAUUCGCCUCAAACAGUCCUACAAUAAUGGGCGGUGUACGUUGGAAGACUAUUGGACAGCAGUUACCUGUGCUGUUCGAGCAUUUGUUUGAAGCUUGUGGGGAAGUCUUUUGGAUAAGUCUUUUGGAUCUAAAAACAUUACCAACUGUUUAACAGUAUGGAUUGUGCGAGUCGUUUUAUGUGUUGUAGUACUUGUUAAAGCUGCUAUAUCCGGCUGCCAUGUUAUAACAUCGACUACUAAAUCAAAAUCCAGACAUAACUCCACUUUUACGUCUUGCGAAUUGAGUAAUAGGUUUUUGACGAUAUGUAAUAUAGGUGCAGCUGUGCUUUUAUUUUGCAUUAGUAUUCGACAUUAUAACAUGGAAACCCAGAUAUAGGAGCUUUAACUGUUAUGUAUUUCAAUAAAGUUAUUUUAAUUAAAAACUGACAUUGUUUGUUUGUUAACUCGUGUAUUAUACUAUACUACUAGUCUAUCCAGGUGUGGCUUAUGUUUUAAAAUAUCCACCAUUAAAAGGGGCAUUCUUCUUGUUAUAUUAUUUAUAUAAUUAUAGAUUAAUAGCAUCACAAAGCCUUUAAAUCGUGACCACUUUAGAAUGCUCUUGGAUAAACAGAGAAUAUAAUAUGGACGAUCGUUACAUACCUUUUAGCUUCCAGGUUGCUUCAAACCUAAGGAGCCAAGAUUGGCGUUGCCUGGGGAGGGGGUAGGAACACUAUGCUCUCCACAAGCAAACUAUUUUUCCUCAGCCACAUUCUUUAUGUUUGUCGUCCUAUUAACAUGGGGCCGGGCCGUAGCUCAGUGGUACAGCGCUCGCUUGGUGCACGGUCGAUCCCCGUCGAUGGGCUAAUUUUCAUUCCAUUCAUGCUGCACAACUGGUGUAAAAAAUAAAAUCGUAAAGAGUAGCCCAUGAAGUGGCGGCAGCGGGUUUCCUGUCUCAAUAUCGGUGAGAUCCUUCACCAUAUUUCCUUCCUUCCAUAUUAACAGUUUCAAAAACAAUGUAGUCGACCCUCGAUGCAUUGUGGUCCCCUCCAAUAUAAAAUCCUGGCUACGCCAAUGGGAGCGAACAUGAGGUGAACACAAUUUUAAUCACAAUGCAAGAUAAUUGAUAUCUGUCACGAAUAUAUCUUUAUAUUUAACAUACAGUUUAAAGAGAAAUUAAAAGGUACUUUGAACCAAGUUAUAUAUGUCGCUCGAGUUACGUAAUAUACACUGUUGAUUUGUACGUCAUCUGACAAUAGAAAUUGAUAAGAUAACAUAGUUGCGUAAAACAUUUUACACAGAGGUACGCCUAGUGAAUACUGUAAAGUAUUCACAUUUUAGUGCACUUGACACGGUUCUUUUGCCAUUUUUCGUGAUUAUAGCCUAAUCUAUAAACCUUCGGACUACCGAACCUUCGGACCAUUGAACCUUCGGACUAUUGAACCUUCUUACCAUUGAACCUUCGGACUAUAGAGCUGUGACCUAUAGAUCUACAUAAUUAAUAUCCCUAUCCGAUACGCC
Molecule: unclassified non-coding RNA, 3441 nt
Filed under: Gigantopelta aegis
Lineage: Eukaryota; Metazoa; Mollusca; Gastropoda; Neomphalida; Peltospiridae
Description: uncharacterized LOC121372634, transcript variant X3
Source: RNAcentral